GGGGUUGUAGCCCAGUGGUGGAGUGAAUGCCUGGCAUGUAUAAAGUCCUGAGUUUGAUCCCCAGCACCACCA
This 72-nucleotide transfer RNA is filed under the name Ictidomys tridecemlineatus (thirteen-lined ground squirrel). RNAcentral describes it as "Spermophilus tridecemlineatus (thirteen-lined ground squirrel) tRNA". It matches the Rfam family "tRNA". Rfam says of the family: Transfer RNA (tRNA) molecules are approximately 80 nucleotides in length. Their secondary structure includes four short double-helical elements and three loops (D, anti-codon, and T loops). Further hydrogen bonds mediate the characteristic L-shaped molecular structure. tRNAs have two regions of fundamental functional importance: the anti-codon, which is responsible for specific mRNA codon recognition, and the 3' end, to which the tRNAs corresponding amino acid is attached (by aminoacyl-tRNA synthetases). tRNAs cope with the degeneracy of the genetic code in two manners: having more than one tRNA (with a specific anti-codon) for a particular amino acid; and 'wobble' base-pairing, i.e. permitting non-standard base-pairing at the 3rd anti-codon position. The record is from Rfam by way of RNAcentral. Lineage: Eukaryota; Metazoa; Chordata; Mammalia; Rodentia; Sciuridae.